UGUGCUGUGGGACUUGGAUGGCAGAGAAAAAGUUGUGGCUGCUGAUCUGCUCCCAGAGAAAGUUGGCUGCAUUUUACAGAAUAUUUAUGAGUAUGGCAGUCAUGGAAGUGCCUGGAUUCAUCUAUGGAAAGAGACAAGUGCUGCUCCCAGAGCCCUUAGGAAGAUGUUUCCACCUGGGGAGACCCUCGGGGUCUCAGCAAGAGCGACAGGACCUGGGGGGACCAUUGCUGUAGGUUUCAGGAGUGAAUCCUUUCCCCCAGGGUAAGAGCUUGGAUGGGAUGGCUGUUUUCUACUCCUCUUCCAGCAGUUUUUAAAGUCGUGGAUGGCAGGAUUUGCAUUCGUACAAGGAGUGAACUCAGGAAUUCCUCCAGGUGGAUGCUCUUCCCAGUGUUUACACCGGGCUGAGGGACAAACUGUCUCUAACCAGCUGAGCUGUGGAGUCUGGGAUCUGUUUUUACUUAUUUUUUGCAAAGUUGCAUCUGAGGGCUUAUCUUGCUUAUAAACAGCUCGGUGCUGUCACCAAGUGGAAAAAGCAAAUCCCAGAAAAUUGCACAUGAGCCAGGCUGGAACCCACCAGUACAGCAUUGCCUCUCUGCCUGUGGGUCUUUCCAGAAGUCCUGAUAAAACUUCCCUGGAGAACGUGUUUCAGAUCCAGGAGGGGCUUUCUUGUCAAGCCCGGAGAGAAUGAGAAAGAGCCAGAUAAAAAGGGCAUGAACCCGCGGUGUGAGCAACAAAGACCAAACCCGCCGCCCACCUCGCUCGAGACAAGACGCAGGAACUCAGCAUCCUGCGUGUGACACAUUGCUGGAGACAACCAAAAAGCGACCAUCACUGCAGGGGAACUGAUAAAACAGCAGGAUCUGCUGUGAGGUGUGCUCUGGGACCCCAAAAUCACCUCUGCAGCCUCUCACACCCAUGGCCAGCGCAGAAAUGGGUGGGAAGAUGAGAAAAACCCCUUCACACACCACGGCUCUUCAGCAGGGUGGAUCAGGCUGAGAGCAGAAACUGGCAGAGCUGCCACAGGCUGCUGAGAAAUUCAAAAUUUCCACCCCCAAGAAGUCAGCGGAGCCAUGAGAAAAAGAGAUUUCACAAAGCACUUUGCAGGAUGAGUGAGGCCGUCAUCUCUUCAUCCUGCAGGUGGGGAAAAAUGAGACAGGAGUCAAAGAAAACAUUUGCCAGUGGUUGCCUGGCACAGAAAUGCAUCCAGGUGCCAGCUCAGCGCUGAGCCAAGGGCAGUGUGAGUGCCAAGUCACUGCCUCUGUCCCAGGUACUUCCAGCCUUGGGGCUGUGAGGGAUAAGUGCUCAUUGUGCUCCCUGUACAAAACAAAAACUUGAGUGCCAAGGUGGGGGAGAGGGAAAGGAAAGCACCAAGGCAUGGAAAUCUGCUCAUGGCUUUAAAAAGACUUGGACAGAAGCCAGAUUUUAAUUUCUGAUGGCUCUCCUGGAGAGAAAAAUACCAAUGAAAUGCCAAAAAAUAAAAAAAAAAAAAAGAAAGAAAAAGGGCCAAAACAAAGCCAUUGGCUGUUGAAACCCAAAUGUUUUCAGUUUAUUCUCAUUAAAGCCCUAUAGAAGCAUGUGAAAUGGAAAAAGAAAUCUGCUUUCUUAUGAUCCAAUAAGUCAUGAACAGUUGAGGCUGGAAAAGGCCUCCAAAUUCACCAAGUCACAAAAUGGUCCAGCAGGAUCCAGGCUCUUGGAGAUGGAACUGGACAGCAGCAUCUGGACAGGAGAUGCCCAUUUCCAAAGCAAUGGCAGUGACCACCAAAUCCCCCCAGCAGCCCCGGGGUGGCUCCAGUGCCAGGAGCCAGGGAACGAGGGGCUGUGCACCCGCAGGAAAUCUGCACCAGAGGGGCUGGGUGUGGGACAGCUGGUGCUCAGAGAGGCUGUUCGGUCUGCGCUCUGAGAAAUGCCAAAUGACACAAUUACAUCAGUCCCUGUUGGUUUAAAGCCUUAUGGAUCUGCAUUCCCGAGGGUGGACUGAUGGAUUUACUGCUGCUUCACUGCUCAUUACAAGAGUGUUUUGUUCCGAGAUGCUGGAGAGGAGGGGCUGAACACUGCGGCCGCACCAGCCCCAGCAGAGGAGAAUCUGGUGCUGUGGAGGGUCCAAAGGGAGCGCCGUGGAUGAAGCAGAGGUUUCCCAACUGGCUCUGCAGCCUCAGGGGGCUUUGAAAUGAGGAUCUGAGAAGCCUCCAGCAAUCCCAGGCACAGGGCAGAGCUCCUCUCCUCUCCUCUCCUCUCCUCUCCUCUCCUCUCCU
Molecule: long non-coding RNA, 2252 nt
Organism: Hirundo rustica (Barn swallow)
Lineage: Eukaryota; Metazoa; Chordata; Aves; Passeriformes; Hirundinidae
Exons: 5
Source: RefSeq, a predicted model, not a curated record